GCCGGAGUGGCUUCAACCAUUGUAUUUGGACUUUAUAUGGGUUACUACCGCAGUAGGAUUAGGAAGCAGUUUAACGUAAAGGGCAGCGACAGUUUCAUAGACGACUGCAUGAGCCAUAUAAUGUGCCCCUGCUGCUCGUUAUGCCAGGAGUCGAGAACCUUAGAGAUGAACAAUGUGCAGGAUGGUGUGUGGCACGGACGAGGCGACACGAUAUGCAUCGGAAGCAUGGUGCUGCCAGCUCUUCUUAAACCUUCUUCGAUACCGACUAAAUCCCCAGGGCUGUGCAGCAUG
This 291-nucleotide unclassified non-coding RNA is filed under the name Hevea brasiliensis (rubber tree). The record is from RNAcentral. Lineage: Eukaryota; Viridiplantae; Streptophyta; Magnoliopsida; Malpighiales; Euphorbiaceae.